AUUGAACGCUGGCGGCAGGCCUAACACAUGCAAGUCGAGCGCGAAAAUUCCUUCGGGGAUGAGUAGAGCGGCGGACGGGUGAGUAAUGCGCAGAAAUCUGCCCAGUAGUGGGGGACAACCUGGUGAAAACCAGGCUAAUACCGCAUACGCCCUACGGGGAAAGGACAGGGAGUCUUCGGACCUUGCGCUAUUGGAUGAGUCUGCGUCGGAUUAGCUUGUUGGUGAGGUAAUGGCUCACCAAGGCGACGAUCCGUAGCUGGUCGUGAGAGGAUGAUCAGCCACACUGGGACUGAGACACGGCCCAGACUCCUACGGGAGGCAGCAGUGGGGAAUAUUGGACAAUGGGCGAAAGCCUGAUCCAGCCAUGCCGCGUGUGUGAAGAAGGCUCUAGGGUUGUAAAGCACUUUCAGUGGGGAGGAAAGCUUGUUAGCUAAUAACUGACGAGUGUGACAUUACCCACAGAAGAAGCACCGGCUAACU
Molecule: ribosomal RNA, 480 nt
Filed under: uncultured bacterium
Lineage: Bacteria
Description: bacterial SSU rRNA
Rfam family: Bacterial small subunit ribosomal RNA
Source: RNAcentral